CCUACGGGAGGCAGCAGUGAGGAAUAUUGGUCAAUGGGCGAGAGCCUGAUCCAGCCACGUCGCGUGAGGGAAGACGGUCCUAUGGAUUGUAAACCUCUUUUGCCGGGGAGCAAAAAGCGGUACGUGUACCGCAUCGAGAGUACCCGGAGAAAAAGCAUCGGCUACCUCCGUGCCAGCAGCCGCGGUAAUACGGAGGAUGCGAGCGUUAUCCGGAUUUAUUGGUUUUAAAGGGUACGCAGGCGGCGAGUUCAGUCAGCGGGAAAAUUUAGGGGUUCAACAUCGACGAGCCUUUGAAACUGGGUUGCUAGAGUGGGCGAGAAGUAUGCGGAAUGCGUGGUGUAGCGGUGAAAUGCAUAGAUAUCACGCAGAACUCCGAUUGCGAAGGCAGCAUACCGGCGCCCAACUGACGCUCAGGCACGAAAGCGUGGGUAUCGAACAGGAUUAGAUACCCGAGUAGUC
This 459-nucleotide ribosomal RNA is filed under the name uncultured bacterium. Its description in RNAcentral is "partial 16S ribosomal RNA". It matches the Rfam family "Bacterial small subunit ribosomal RNA", at positions 338 to 795 of the family's 1533-position model. The record is from RNAcentral.